CAACCACAUUUGAUUGGUCUGCAAGAGUGCGUCUUGGAGGAGUUCUUUCAGCCAUCUCCUCUGUUCUUCUAUCUGGUGAAGGUGAUAGUAAUCUUUCAGGGGAAGGAAACAAAUCCCUAGAUGGGCGUCUGACUCUCCUUCUCCCCCUUUCCUCGCUUAAGCCUUCAAGAAGAGGUUGCGUAUUUUUCUUGCUUCUAGUAUGUCUGGGCUCCUGCUGCAUGCACAAGAAACACAAACCCUAAUAGC
This 246-nucleotide long non-coding RNA is filed under the name Vigna radiata. Its description in RNAcentral is "long non-coding RNA (VRAD_LNC008671)". Lineage: Eukaryota; Viridiplantae; Streptophyta; Magnoliopsida; Fabales; Fabaceae. The record is from RNAcentral.